UACGGAGGGUGCGAGCGUUGUUCGGAAUUAUUGGGCGUAAAGCGCGUGUAGGCGGUUUUUUAAGUCUGAUGUGAAAGCCCUGGGCUCAACCCGGGAAGUGCAUUGGAAACUGGGAGACUUGAAUAUGGGAGAGGGCAGUGGAAUUCCUGGUGUAGGAGUGAAAUCCGUAGAUAUCAGGAGGAACACCGGUGGCGAAGGCAGCUGCCUGGACCGAUAUUGACGCUGAGGCGCGAAAGCGUGGGGAGCAAACAGG
Molecule: ribosomal RNA, 253 nt
Filed under: uncultured prokaryote
Description: partial 16S ribosomal RNA
Rfam family: Bacterial small subunit ribosomal RNA
Source: RNAcentral